RNAcentral lists this ribosomal RNA (494 nucleotides) under uncultured bacterium. RNAcentral's name for it is "partial 16S ribosomal RNA". It matches the Rfam family "Bacterial small subunit ribosomal RNA", at positions 28 to 507 of the family's 1533-position model. The record is from RNAcentral.
GGCGAACGCUGGCGGCGUGCUUAACACAUGCAAGUCGAACGGAAAGGCCUGCUUUCCCUUGUGGAUUGCGGGUACUCGAGUGGCGAACGGGUGAGUAACACGUGAGUGAUCUGCCCCCAACUUGGGUAUAAGCCUGGGAAACUGGGUCUAAUUCCCGAUAGGACUGCAGGGUGGUGCCUGUGGUGGAAAACGAUUUUCUAGUGGUUGGGGAUGAGCUCGCGGCCUAUCAGCUUGUUGGUGGGGUAAUGGCCUACCAAGGCGGCGACGGGUAGCCGGACUGAGAGGGUGGACGGCCACAUUGGGACUGAGAUACGGCCCAGACUCCUACGGGAGGCAGCAGUGGGGAAUAUUGCACAAUGGGCGGAAGCCUGAUGCAGCGACGCCGCGUGGGGGAUGACGGCCUUCGGGUUGUAAACUCCUUUCGACCGCGAGGAAGCCACCUGGUUGGAAGGGUGGUGACGGUAGUGGUAGAAGAAGCACCGGCUAACUACGUG